This is a transfer RNA of Cavia porcellus (domestic guinea pig), 64 nucleotides long. It matches the Rfam family "tRNA". From Rfam's summary of the family: Transfer RNA (tRNA) molecules are approximately 80 nucleotides in length. Lineage: Eukaryota; Metazoa; Chordata; Mammalia; Rodentia; Caviidae. The record is from Rfam.
GGGGAUUUAGCUCAGUGGCAUAAGUGCCUGCCUUGCAAGCAGGCAGAUGUGAGUUCAAUCCCUG